CAACAUCGCCUUUGCUCCUUGCUUUGCUGGUGCGAAGAGCGGAAAUUGGCCUCGUGUGCCCUCGGGCACAGUCGGUCGAAGAGCGGGUAGUCGGCAGUCGUCGGGCGCGAUGGGUGCUGGUCACCCUGUGCGUGAAUAGAACGUCGCCCCGACGUGUCGGGAUGUGUCCUCAAAGAGACCCUGUGCGAUURCGGCAUCAUGUCAAAGUGACGUGCCCAUCGGAUU
This 225-nucleotide unclassified non-coding RNA is filed under the name Wurfbainia villosa. RNAcentral describes it as "internal transcribed space 2". Lineage: Eukaryota; Viridiplantae; Streptophyta; Magnoliopsida; Zingiberales; Zingiberaceae. The record is from RNAcentral.